GCGGAUGUAGCUCAAUUGGGAGAGCGCCGGACAUAAUCCGGAGGUUGUGGGUUCGAGUCCCGUCGUCUGCACCA
This 74-nucleotide transfer RNA is filed under the name Mesorhizobium loti. Its description in RNAcentral is "tRNA-Tyr". It matches the Rfam family "tRNA". From Rfam's summary of the family: Transfer RNA (tRNA) molecules are approximately 80 nucleotides in length. Their secondary structure includes four short double-helical elements and three loops (D, anti-codon, and T loops). Further hydrogen bonds mediate the characteristic L-shaped molecular structure. tRNAs have two regions of fundamental functional importance: the anti-codon, which is responsible for specific mRNA codon recognition, and the 3' end, to which the tRNAs corresponding amino acid is attached (by aminoacyl-tRNA synthetases). tRNAs cope with the degeneracy of the genetic code in two manners: having more than one tRNA (with a specific anti-codon) for a particular amino acid; and 'wobble' base-pairing, i.e. permitting non-standard base-pairing at the 3rd anti-codon position. RNAcentral also lists the same sequence under 3 other names. Lineage: Bacteria; Pseudomonadati; Pseudomonadota; Alphaproteobacteria; Hyphomicrobiales; Phyllobacteriaceae. The record is from RNAcentral.